AGGGGAAUAGUUGCAAUGGUAGAACGCUGGUUUCCAAAACCAGAUGUUAGGGGUUCGAAUCCCUUUUCUCCUG
This 73-nucleotide transfer RNA is filed under the name Tetraselmis sp. CCMP 881. RNAcentral's name for it is "tRNA-Trp". It matches the Rfam family "tRNA". From Rfam's summary of the family: Transfer RNA (tRNA) molecules are approximately 80 nucleotides in length. Their secondary structure includes four short double-helical elements and three loops (D, anti-codon, and T loops). Further hydrogen bonds mediate the characteristic L-shaped molecular structure. tRNAs have two regions of fundamental functional importance: the anti-codon, which is responsible for specific mRNA codon recognition, and the 3' end, to which the tRNAs corresponding amino acid is attached (by aminoacyl-tRNA synthetases). tRNAs cope with the degeneracy of the genetic code in two manners: having more than one tRNA (with a specific anti-codon) for a particular amino acid; and 'wobble' base-pairing, i.e. permitting non-standard base-pairing at the 3rd anti-codon position. The record is from RNAcentral. Lineage: Eukaryota; Viridiplantae; Chlorophyta; Chlorodendrophyceae; Chlorodendrales; Chlorodendraceae.